UGGGGAAUAUUGCACAAUGGGCGCAAGCCUGAUGCAGCCAUGCCGCGUGUAUGAAGAAGGCCUUCGGGUUGUAAAGUACUUUCAGCGGGGAGGAAGGGAGUAAAGUUAAUACCUUUGCUCAUUGACGUUACCCACAGAAGAAGCACCGGCUAACUCCGUGCCAGCAGCCGCGGUAAUACGGAGGGUGCAAGCGUUAAUCGGAAUUACUGGGCGUAAAGCGCACGCAGGCGGUUGAUUGAGUCAGAUGUGAAAUCCCCGGGCUUAACCCGGGAAUUGCAUCUGAUACUGGUCAGCUAGAGUCUUGUAGAGGGGGGUAGAAUUCCAUGUGUAGCGGUGAAAUGCGUAGAGAUGUGGAGGAAUACCGGUGGCGAAGGCGGCCCCCUGGACAAAGACUGACGCUCAGGUGCGAAAGCGUGGGGAGCAAACAGG
RNAcentral lists this ribosomal RNA (429 nucleotides) under Chloroflexota bacterium. RNAcentral describes it as "Chloroflexi bacterium partial 16S ribosomal RNA". It matches the Rfam family "Bacterial small subunit ribosomal RNA", at positions 355 to 776 of the family's 1533-position model. The record is from RNAcentral. Lineage: Bacteria; Bacillati; Chloroflexota.